AUUGAACGCUGGCGGAAUGCUUUACACAUGCAAGUCGAACGGCAGCACGGGGGCAACCCUGGUGGCGAGUGGCGAACGGGUGAGUAACAUAUCGGAACAUAUCCAGUAAUGGGGGAUAACGCAGCGAAAGUUGUGCUAAUACCGCAUACGUCCUAAGGGAGAAAGUGGGGGAUCGCAAGACCUCACGUUAUUGGAGUGGCCGAUAUCUGAUUAGCUAGUUGGUGGGGUAAAGGCCCACCAAGGCAUCGAUCAGUAGCUGGUCUGAGAGGAUGAUCAGCCACACUGGAACUGAGACACGGUCCAGACUCCUACGGGAGGCAGCAGUGGGGAAUUUUUGGACAAUGGGGGCAACCCUGAUCCAGCCAUUCCGCGUGAGUGAAGAA
RNAcentral lists this ribosomal RNA (383 nucleotides) under uncultured bacterium. Its description in RNAcentral is "bacterial SSU rRNA". It matches the Rfam family "Bacterial small subunit ribosomal RNA", at positions 30 to 412 of the family's 1533-position model. The record is from RNAcentral.